GACAGAGGGGGCAAGCGUUGCUCGGAAUUAUUGGGCGUAAAGAGCUCGUAGGCGGUGUGUCGCGUCGGCCGUGAAAACCUGCAGCUUAACUGUGGGCGUGCGGGCGAUACGGGCAGACUAGAGUACUGCAGGGGAGACUGGAAUUCCUGGUGUAGCGGUGAAAUGCGCAGAUAUCAGGAGGAACACCGAUGGCGAAGGCAGGUCUCUGGGCAUUAACUGACGCUGAGGAGCGAAAGCAUGGGGAGCGAACAGG
Molecule: ribosomal RNA, 253 nt
Filed under: uncultured bacterium
Lineage: Bacteria
Description: partial 16S ribosomal RNA
Rfam family: Bacterial small subunit ribosomal RNA
Source: RNAcentral